Molecule: transfer RNA, 57 nt
Filed under: Glyphocassis sp. N62
Lineage: Eukaryota; Metazoa; Arthropoda; Insecta; Coleoptera; Chrysomelidae
Description: tRNA-Ser
Source: RNAcentral
GAGUAGAAAAAAUAAGCUUCUAACUUAAAUAUAAAGCGUUAAAACGUUUAUACUCUU